UUCACUUUAAACUAAUCUGCUGUGAAAACACACGUACCACAACUUACCAUGAACCAAAAACAAAGAAAAUUAAAAUUGGGUGUAAAAAAAAAUAGAAUUCAAAAAAGAAUUCUGGCUUCAUUUGCCAAGUAACACAACAAAAUAAAAUAAAAUGAUAAAAAUAAAAAUAAAUCUUAUUAUCAGUCUUCCAUAGUGGCAUGGCUCGCCCUCUCUGCAUAUCAUUCUCGUUUUGACUACAUUUUGCAUCCCAUAUGAAUAAUACAAACUCAAUCAGAAUUACAGGACACUAUUAUUGUCCCAUGUGACCUUGAAUCCAAAUCGAUUGAAAUUGAACGAGCUGAUUUGCAUAGUUAAACUAACAAUGGGGCUGUAAUCAAACCCUGUAAACCAUUUUUGAAACAAAACCCUGGGUACAUUUUAACAACAGAUUAGCAGUAAGUGUGUGCUCAUUUUGUUUCUGCUGUGUGUGUGUGUGUGUGUGUGUGUGUGUGUGUGUGUGUGUGUGUGUGUGUGUGUGUGUGUGUGUGUGUGUGUGUGUGUGUGUGUGUGUGUGUGUGUGUGUGUGUGUGUGUGUAGUUGACUCGCGUUAACUCAUUGUGUGAAACUUAAACGUGUGGUUUUGACCGAUGUGCUGUAUUGAUUUGAUCCGAUCGGUUCACACCUGAUGGUGGCAGUUCGUUAACUAAGAGUGUUAUCCGUGAAUAAAAGAGAUAGCCAGCAUUCUUCACAUCCCCUGCUAUCUCCAUAAUCGUAGAGAUAUUGAGUACAGGACCUCGUAGUGAGGUGCCUGAAAGUUGGAAAUGGAUUUGUUUUCUCGAUAAGGUGAACCUGUUCAAGGCCGUCAUUGCCUAGUUAAAUAAAGGUAAAAUUAAAUCAAAAUAGCAGGUGUGUAACACAGGUACACAGUAUAGAGGUACACAGUAAGGAGGUACACAGUAUAGAGGUACACAGUAAGGAGGUACACAGUAAGGAGGUACACAGUAUAGAGGUAGAGAGUAAGGAGGUACACAGUAGAGGUACACAGUAAGGAGGUACACAGUAAGGAGGUACACAGUAUAGAGGUACACAGUAAGGAGGUACACAGUAUAGAGGUACACAGUAAGGAGGUACUCAGUAAGGAGGUACACAGUAAGGAGGUACUCAGUAAGGAGGUACACAGUAGAGGUACUCAGUAUAGAGGUACUCAGUAAGGAGGUACUCAGUAAGGAGGUACACAGUAAGGAGGUACACAGUAUAGAGGUAGAGAGUAAAGAGGUACACAGUAAGGAGGUACACAGUAAGGAGGUACACAGUAUAGAGGUAGAGAGUAAAGAGGUACACAGUAAGGAGGUACACAGUAAGGAGGUACACAGUAAGGAGGUACACAGUAUAGAGGUACACAGUAAGGAGGUACACAGUAAGGAGGUACUCAGUAAGGAGGUACUCAGUAUAGAGGUACACAGUAAGGAGGUACACAGUAUGGAGGUACUCAGUAAGGAGGUACACAGUAUAGAGGUAGAGAGUAAGGAGGUACUCAGUAUAGAGGUACACAGUAUAGAGGUACACAGUAAGGAGGUACACAGUAUAGAGGUACACAGUAUAGAGGUACACAGUAAGGAGGUACACAGUAUAGAGGUAGAGAGUAAGGAGGUACACAGUAAGGAGGUAGAGAGUAAAGAGGUACACAGUAGAGGUAGCGAGUAAGGAGGUACUCAGUAAGGAGGUACACAGUAGAGGUAGCGAGUAAGGAGGUACACAGUAUAGAGGUAGAGAGUAAAGAGGUAGAGAGGUCCUCUCACACCUUUAUCUUAUUAUGUGGAAGGAAUAGACGUUUAGGGCCUGUGAAGGUUAUUUUUAGGGCCUGUGAAGGUAAUUUUUAGGGCCUGUGAAGGUUAUUUUUAGGGCAUGUGAAGGUUAUUUUUAGGGCCUGUGAAGGUUAUUUUUAGGGCCUGUGAAGGUUAUUUUUAGGGCCUGUGUAGGUUAUUUUUAGGGCCUGUGUAGGUUAUUUUUAGGGCCUGUGAAGGUUAUUUUUAGGGCCUGUGAAGGUUAUUUUUAGGGCCUGUGUAGGUUAUUUUUAGGGCCUGUGUAGGUUAUUUUUAGGGCCUGUGAAGGUUAUUUUUAGGGCCUGUGAAGGUUAUUUUUAGGGCCUGUGAAGGUUAUUUUUAGGGCCUGUGAAGGUUAUUUUUACGGCCUGUGUAGGUUAUUUUUAGGGCCUGUGAAGGUUAUUUUUAGGGCCUGUGAAGGUUAUUUUUAGGGCCUGUGAAGGUUAUUUUUAGGGCCUAGGGUGUCCAUCUCAAAGUUGUACCUUUAGUACCUUCUCAGUUGUGCGUGUUUGUGUGUCUGUCUGUAUGUGUGUCUAUUGGUUUGUUUGUCCAGGUAACAGGUGAGUCCAGGUAACAGGUGACUACAGUGUCCCACAGCUGUCUCUAACCCCUUCUAUCCUC
Oncorhynchus keta (chum salmon) is the source of this 2423-nucleotide long non-coding RNA. RefSeq lists it as uncharacterized. The record is from RefSeq and is a predicted model, not a curated record. NCBI's taxonomy places the organism in Eukaryota, Metazoa, Chordata, Actinopteri, Salmoniformes, Salmonidae. The transcript has 3 exons.